ACUUAUAUAAUAUAAUAAUUAUAUUUAACUUCCAAUUAAAAAAUCUAAAUUUAGUAUAAGUA
RNAcentral lists this transfer RNA (62 nucleotides) under Pelecotoma fennica. RNAcentral describes it as "tRNA-Gly". Lineage: Eukaryota; Metazoa; Arthropoda; Insecta; Coleoptera; Ripiphoridae. The record is from RNAcentral.